Molecule: ribosomal RNA, 735 nt
Filed under: uncultured organism
Description: bacterial SSU rRNA
Rfam family: Bacterial small subunit ribosomal RNA
Source: RNAcentral
GAUAUCAGGAGGAACACCGGUGGCGAAGGCGGCCAUCUGGACAGUAACUGACGCUGAGGUACGAAAGCGUGGGUAGCAAACAGGAUUAGAUACCCUGGUAGUCCACGCUGUAAACGAUGGAUACUCGAUGUCGGGGCAUUGAGCUUCGGUGUCAAAGUUAACGCAUUAAGUAUCCCGCCUGGGGAGUACGGUCGCAAGGCUGAAACUCAAAGAAAUUGACGGGGGCCCGCACAAGCGGUGGAGUAUGUGGUUUAAUUCGAUGCAACGCGAAGAACCUUACCUGGACUUGACAUCCUGCGGAUCCCCUGGAGACAGGGGAGUGCCUUUCGGGGGAACCGCAAGAGGACAAGGUGGCUGCAUNGGCUGUCGUCAGCUCGUGCCGUGAGGUGUUGGGUUAAGUCCCGCAACGAGCGCAACCCCUAUUUUCAGUUGCCAUCACAUAAUGGUGGGCACUCUGGAGAGACUGCCCGGGUUAACCGGGAGGAAGGUGGGGACGACGUCAAGUCAUCAUGGCCCUUACGUCCAGGGCUACACACGUACUACAAUGGAGGGCACAAAGGGGAGCGAGACCGCGAGGUGGAGCGAAUCCCAGAAAACCCUUCCCAGUUCGGAUUGGAGUCUGCAACUCGACUCCAUGAAGUUGGAAUCGCUAGUAAUCCCGGAUCAGCAUGCCGGGUGAUACGUUCCCGGCAUGUACACACCGCCCGUCACACCACGAAAGUCGGUUCUACCCGA